RNAcentral lists this ribosomal RNA (422 nucleotides) under uncultured Thermogymnomonas sp. RNAcentral describes it as "bacterial SSU rRNA". It matches the Rfam family "Archaeal small subunit ribosomal RNA", at positions 322 to 746 of the family's 1478-position model. Lineage: Archaea; Methanobacteriati; Thermoplasmatota; Thermoplasmata; Thermoplasmatales. The record is from RNAcentral.
CCUACGGGCGGCAGCAGUCGCGAAAACUUCGCAAUGGGGGCAACCCCGACGAGCGAAUUCCAAGUGCCAGCACUUUGUGUUGGCUGUUCUCUUGUCUCAAAAACAAGAGGAAUAAGGGGCGGGUAAGACGGGUGCCAGCCGCCGCGGUAAUACCCGCGCCCCAAGUGGUGGUCGAUAUUAUUGAGCCUAAAGCGUCCGUAGCCGGUCUUUUAAAUCCUUGGGUAAAUCGGGCAGCUUUACUGUCCGACUUCCGAGGAGACUGGAAGACUUGGGACCGGAAGAGGUCAGAGGUACUUCUGGGGUAGGGGUAAAAUCCUGUAAUCCUGGAAGGACCACCGGUGGCGAAGGCGUCUGACUAGAACGGAUCCGACGGUGAGGGACGAAGCCCUGGGGAGCAAACAGGAUUAGAUACCCUGGUAGUC